RNAcentral lists this ribosomal RNA (486 nucleotides) under uncultured bacterium. RNAcentral describes it as "partial 16S ribosomal RNA". It matches the Rfam family "Bacterial small subunit ribosomal RNA", at positions 29 to 507 of the family's 1533-position model. The record is from RNAcentral.
AUUGAACGCUGGCGGCAUGCCUUACACAUGCAAGUCGAACGGCAGCACGGGUGCUUGCACCUGGUGGCGAGUGGCGAACGGGUGAGUAAUACAUCGGAACAUGUCCUGUAGUGGGGGAUAGCCCGGCGAAAGCCGGAUUAAUACCGCAUACGAUCUACGGAGGAAAGCGGGGGACCUUCGGGCCUCGCGCUAUAGGGUUGGCCGAUGGCUGAUUAGCUAGUUGGUGGGGUAAAGGCCUACCAAGGCGACGAUCAGUAGCUGGUCUGAGAGGACGACCAGCCCAACCGGGACUGAGAACAGGGCCCGAACCCCUACGGGGGCAGGCGGGGGGAAUUUUGGAACAAGGGGGAAAGCCUGAUCCAGGCAUGGCGGCUGGGUGGAGAAGGCCUUCCGGUUGGAAAGCAAUUUUGUUCGGAAAGAAAUCCUUGGCCCUAAUACGGUCGGGGGAUGACGGUACCGGAAGAAUAAGCACCGGCUAACUACGUG